CCUUCCAUGAUGAUCCGUCAAGAUGACUUUCGUUCUUCUGACUUUGCUGAAGCCAUCUCAAUGCACUGAGAAGG
Molecule: small nucleolar RNA, 74 nt
Filed under: Sphenodon punctatus (tuatara)
Lineage: Eukaryota; Metazoa; Chordata; Lepidosauria; Sphenodontia; Sphenodontidae
Description: Small nucleolar RNA SNORD59 (ENSSPUG00000004952.1)
Rfam family: Small nucleolar RNA SNORD59
About the family: U59 belongs to the C/D class of snoRNA which contain the C (UGAUGA) and D (CUGA) box motifs.
Source: Rfam by way of RNAcentral